This 471-nucleotide ribosomal RNA is filed under the name Paenibacillus lautus. RNAcentral describes it as "bacterial SSU rRNA". It matches the Rfam family "Bacterial small subunit ribosomal RNA", at positions 25 to 475 of the family's 1533-position model. The record is from RNAcentral. Lineage: Bacteria; Bacillati; Bacillota; Bacilli; Caryophanales; Paenibacillaceae.
CAGGACGAACGCUGGCGGCGUGCCUAAUACAUGCAAGUCGAGCGGACNUGAUGGAGUGCUUGCACUCCUGAUGGUUAGCGGCGGACGGGUGAGUAACACGUAGGCAACCUGCCCUCAAGACUGGGAUAACUACCGGAAACGGUAGCUAAUACCGGAUAAUUUAUUUCNCAGCAUUGUGGAAUAAUGAAAGACGGAGCAAUCUGUCACUUGGGGAUGGGCCUGCGGCGCAUUAGCUAGUUGGUGGGGUAAUGGCUCACCAAGGCGACGAUGCGUAGCCGACCUGAGAGGGUGAACGGCCACACUGGGACUGAGACACGGCCCAGACUCCUACGGGAGGCAGCAGUAGGGAAUCUUCCGCAAUGGGCGAAAGCCUGACGGAGCAACGCCGCGUGAGUGAUGAAGGUUUUCGGAUCGUAAAGCUCUGUUGCCAAGGAAGAACGUCUUCUAGAGUAACUGCUAGGAGAGUGACGG